This 99-nucleotide non-coding RNA is filed under the name Clostridium pasteurianum. RNAcentral describes it as "TPP sequence". It matches the Rfam family "TPP riboswitch aptamer (THI element)". Rfam says of the family: Vitamin B(1) in its active form thiamin pyrophosphate (TPP) is an essential coenzyme that is synthesised by coupling of pyrimidine and thiazole moieties in bacteria. The previously detected thiamin-regulatory element, thi box was extended, resulting in a new, highly conserved RNA secondary structure, the THI element, which is widely distributed in eubacteria and also occurs in some archaea. The record is from RNAcentral. RNAcentral also lists the same sequence under 1 other name. Lineage: Bacteria; Bacillati; Bacillota; Clostridia; Eubacteriales; Clostridiaceae.
CAAAUUAGCUAGGGGUGCCUAAUGGCUGAGAAAUGGUGUUCAUUAACCCUCAGACCUGAUCUAGAUAAUUCUAGCGUAGGAAAGCAUUUUUUCUUUAGC